This 71-nucleotide ribozyme is filed under the name Anopheles gambiae (African malaria mosquito). Its description in RNAcentral is "Pistol ribozyme". It matches the Rfam family "Pistol ribozyme". Lineage: Eukaryota; Metazoa; Arthropoda; Insecta; Diptera; Culicidae. The record is from Rfam by way of RNAcentral.
ACUCGACUAAGCGAGUAUAAAAAGGUUUCAAGCUUAGAGCGUUGAUAGGGAUAAAAACCUAUCAGGUAACA